RNAcentral lists this ribosomal RNA (492 nucleotides) under uncultured bacterium. RNAcentral describes it as "partial 16S ribosomal RNA". It matches the Rfam family "Bacterial small subunit ribosomal RNA", at positions 29 to 507 of the family's 1533-position model. The record is from RNAcentral.
AGUGAACGCUGGCGGUAGGCCUAACACAUGCAAGUCGAACGGCAGCACAGUAAGAGCUUGCUCUUACGGGUGGCGAGUAGCGGACGGGUGAGGAAUACAUCGGAAUCUACUUUUUCGUGGGGGAUAACGUAGGGAAACUUACGCUAAUACCGCAUACGAUCUACGGGUGAAAUCAGGGGAUCUUCGGACCUUGCGCGAUUGAAUGAGCCGAUGCCGGAUUAGCUAGUUGGCGGGGUAAAGGCCCACCAAGGCGACGAUCCGUAGCUGGUCUGAGAGGAUGAUCAGCCACACUGGAACUGAGACACGGUCCAGACUCCUACGGGAGGCAGCAGUAGGGAAUAUUGGACAAAGGGCGAAAGCCUGAUCCAGCCAUGCCGCGUGGGUGAAGAAGGCCUUCGGGUUGUAAAGCCCUUUUGUUGGGGAAGAAAAGCAGCAGGUGAAACCCCCGAUGUUCUGACGGUACCCAACGAGUAAGCACCGGCUAACUUCGUG